This 253-nucleotide ribosomal RNA is filed under the name uncultured bacterium. Its description in RNAcentral is "partial 16S ribosomal RNA". It matches the Rfam family "Bacterial small subunit ribosomal RNA", at positions 524 to 776 of the family's 1533-position model. The record is from RNAcentral.
GACGAACCGUGCGAACGUUGUUCGGAAUCACUGGGCUUAAAGGGCGCGUAGGCGGGUCAUCAAGUCCGGGGUGAAAGCCCCCAGCUUAACUGGGGAAGUGCCUCGGAGACUGAUGAUCUCGAGGGAGGUAGGGGUCCGUGGAACUUCGGGUGGAGCGGUGAAAUGCGUUGAUAUCCGAAGGAACGCCGGUGGCGAAAGCGACGGACUGGAUCUCUUCUGACGCUGAGGCGCGAAAGCCAGGGGAGCAAACGGG